AACGAACGCUGGCGGCAUGCCUAACACAUGCAAGUCGAACGAGAUCUUCGGGUCUAGUGGCGCACGGGUGCGUAACGCGUGGGAAUCUGCCCUUUGGUUCGGAAUAACAGUGGGAAACGACUGCUAAUACCGGAUGAUGACGAAAGUCCAAAGAUUUAUCGCCGGAGGAUGAGCCCGCGUAGGAUUGGCUAGUUGGUGUGGUAAAGGCGCACCAAGGAGACGAUCCUUAGCUGGUCUGAGAGGAUGAUCAGCCACACUGUGACGGAGACACGGCGCAGACUACUACCGGAGGCAGCAGUGGAGAAUAUUUUACAAUGGGCUAAAGCUUGAUCCAACAAUGCCGCGUGAGUGAUGAAGGCCUUAGGGUUGUAAAGCUCUUUUACCCGGGAUGAUAAUGACUGUACCGGGAGAAUAAGCGCCGGCUAACUCCGUGCCUGCCGCCGCCGUAA
RNAcentral lists this ribosomal RNA (449 nucleotides) under uncultured bacterium. Its description in RNAcentral is "partial 16S ribosomal RNA". It matches the Rfam family "Bacterial small subunit ribosomal RNA", at positions 29 to 523 of the family's 1533-position model. The record is from RNAcentral.